UACCGCGUGAGGGAGGAAGGCCUUGGGGUUGUAAACCUCUUUUGUCAGGAAAGAAAAUUUGACGGUACCUGAAGAAAAAGCAUCGGCUAACUCCGUGCCAGCAGCCGCGGUAAUACGGAGGAUGCAAGCGUUAUCCGGAAUAAUUGGGCGUAAAGGGUCCGCAGGUGGCCAUUCAAGUCUGCUGUCAAAGCCAGUGGCUCAACCACUGAAAGGCAGUGGAAACUGUGUUGCUAGAGUACGGUAGGGGUAGAGGGAAUUCCCAGUGUAGCGGUGAAAUGCGUAGAUAUUGGGAAGAACACCGGUGGCGAAAGCGCUCUACUGGGCCGAAACUGACACUGAGGGACGAAAGCUAGGGGAGCG
Molecule: ribosomal RNA, 360 nt
Filed under: uncultured cyanobacterium
Lineage: Bacteria; Bacillati; Cyanobacteriota
Description: bacterial SSU rRNA
Rfam family: Bacterial small subunit ribosomal RNA
Source: RNAcentral